UUUAGCAUUCAAUAAGCGGAGGAAAAGAAACCAACAGGGAUUGCCCUAGUAACGGCGAGUGAAGCGGCAACAGCUCAAAUUUGAAAUCUGGCUCUUUUAGAGUCCGAGUUGUAAUUUGCAGAGGGCGCUUUGGCUUUGGCAGCGGUCCAAGUUCCUUGGAACAGGACGUCACAGAGGGUGAGAAUCCCGUACGUGGUCGCUAGCUAUUGCCGUGUAAAGCCCCUUCGACGAGUCGAGUUGUUUGGGAAUGCAGCUCUAAAUGGGAGGUAAAUUUCUUCUAAAGCUAAAUAUUGGCCAGAGACCGAUAGCGCACAAGUAGAGUGAUCGAAAGAUGAAAAGCACUUUGGAAAGAGAGUCAAACAGCACGUGAAAUUGUUGAAAGGGAAGCGCUUGCAGCCAGACUUGCUUGCAGUUGCUCAUCCGGGCUUUUGCCCGGUGCACUCUUCUGUAGGCAGGCCAGCAUCAGUUUGGGCGGUGGGAUAAAGGUCUCUGACACGUUCCUUUCUUCGGGUUGGCCAUAUAGGGGAGACGUCAUACCACCAGCCUGGACUGAGGUCCGCGCAUCUGCUAGGAUGCUGGCGUAAUGGCUGUAAGCGGCCCGUCUUGAAACACGGACCAAGGAGUCUAACAUCUAUGCGAGUGUUUGGGUGUCAAGCCCGAGCGCGUAAUGAAAGUGAACGGAGGUGGGAACCCGCAAGGGUGCACCAUCGACCGAUCCUGAAGUUUACGGAAGGAUUUGAGUAAGAGCAUGGCUGUUGGGACCCGAAAGAUGGUGAACUAUGCUUGAAUAGGGUGAAGCCAGAGGAAACUCUGGUGGAGGCUCGCAGCGGUUCUGACGUGCAAAUCGAUCGUCAAAUUUGGGCAUAGGGGCGAAAGACUAAUCGAACUAUCUAGUAG
Molecule: ribosomal RNA, 897 nt
Filed under: Curvularia richardiae
Lineage: Eukaryota; Fungi; Ascomycota; Dothideomycetes; Pleosporales; Pleosporaceae
Description: eukaryotic LSU rRNA
Rfam family: Eukaryotic large subunit ribosomal RNA
Source: RNAcentral